RNAcentral lists this transfer RNA (74 nucleotides) under Vannella simplex. RNAcentral describes it as "tRNA-Met". It matches the Rfam family "tRNA". From Rfam's summary of the family: Transfer RNA (tRNA) molecules are approximately 80 nucleotides in length. Their secondary structure includes four short double-helical elements and three loops (D, anti-codon, and T loops). Further hydrogen bonds mediate the characteristic L-shaped molecular structure. tRNAs have two regions of fundamental functional importance: the anti-codon, which is responsible for specific mRNA codon recognition, and the 3' end, to which the tRNAs corresponding amino acid is attached (by aminoacyl-tRNA synthetases). tRNAs cope with the degeneracy of the genetic code in two manners: having more than one tRNA (with a specific anti-codon) for a particular amino acid; and 'wobble' base-pairing, i.e. permitting non-standard base-pairing at the 3rd anti-codon position. Lineage: Eukaryota; Discosea; Flabellinia; Vannellidae. The record is from RNAcentral.
AAUCUCAUAGUUUAAUCAGGUAAAAUGUACCGCUCAUAACGGUUUAGAUAUUGGUUCGAAUCCAAUUGAGUCAA